GCCAGGCAGAGUGACACAUGCCUGUAGCCCUACUCAGAAGGCAGGUUGAUCACUUGAGUCCAGGAGUUACGCACUGUAGUGUGCUAUGCCGAUUGGGUGUCUGCAUUAAGUUCAGCAUCAAUAUGGUGACCUCCCAGGAGCUGGGGACCACCAGGUUGCCUAAAGAGAGGUAAACCAGCCCAGGUCAGAAAUGGAGCAGAAAUGGAUCAGCUCCUGUGCUGACUGGUAGUGGGAUCAUGCCUAUGAAGAGCCACUGUACUCUAGCUUGUAAACUAAAGCAUGUUUCUUU
Molecule: unclassified non-coding RNA, 289 nt
Organism: Callithrix jacchus (white-tufted-ear marmoset)
Lineage: Eukaryota; Metazoa; Chordata; Mammalia; Primates; Cebidae
Rfam family: Metazoan signal recognition particle RNA
About the family: The signal recognition particle (SRP) is a universally conserved ribonucleoprotein.
Source: Ensembl